UACGUAGGGGGCUAGCGUUAUCCGGAAUUACUGGGCGUAAAGGGUGCGUAGGUGGUUUCUUAAGUCAGAGGUGAAAGGCUACGGCUCAACCGUAGUAAGCCUUUGAAACUGGGGAACUUGAGUGCAGGAGAGGAGAGUGGAAUUCCUAGUGUAGCGGUGAAAUGCGUAGAUAUUAGGAGGAACACUAGUUGCGAAGGCGGCUCUCUGGACUGUAACUGACACUGAGGCACGAAAGCGUGGGGAGCAAACAGG
RNAcentral lists this ribosomal RNA (252 nucleotides) under uncultured bacterium. RNAcentral describes it as "partial 16S ribosomal RNA". It matches the Rfam family "Bacterial small subunit ribosomal RNA", at positions 524 to 776 of the family's 1533-position model. The record is from RNAcentral.